UCCAGAAUCUCUCAUGGUUUGUCUCCCUCUCCGAUUUCUUUCCCCUCAGUUUCCCUCCCUCCCCUGGGGUCCGCUGCGCUGCUCCUCGUGCUCUGCACGUCCCACGUACGACGGAGAACAUACGCGUCUGUUGGGACUCCCACAAUGCAUAUAUCGGUCUCCUUCAUGACGACCCACACAUCCAUAGGCUCUCUUCACUUUUCUUCAUGCUUUUCGGAUUUGAUUUCAACAACCUGUCUUCAAACUCACAAGUUUUACAUUUAAUCCCUCUAGUAAAUGUUUUCAGUUCCAUUAUUGUAUUUUUCAGCUCUAGUAUUUCUGUUCUUUUUUUUUUGAAAAAUGUUUUUUCUCUUUGUUGAUAUUCUCAUUUUGUGCUUGCAUUAUUUUCCUGAUUUCAUUUAGUUGUCAUUCUUUUAGCUCACUGAGCCUCUUUAUGACAUUUUUUAAAAUUUUUUAUUUUUUUUAUAAACAUAUAUUUUUAUCCCCAGGGGUACAGGUCUGUGAAUCACCAGGUUUACACACUUCACAGCACUCACCAAAG
RNAcentral lists this long non-coding RNA (541 nucleotides) under Mustela putorius furo (domestic ferret). Its description in RNAcentral is "lncRNA (ENSMPUG00000029190.1)". The record is from RNAcentral. Lineage: Eukaryota; Metazoa; Chordata; Mammalia; Carnivora; Mustelidae.